UUUCUGCAAGGUGCUGCAUGGUUGUCGUCAGCUCGUGCCGUGAGGUGUCGGGUUAAGUCCCAUAACGAGCGCAACCCUUAUCGUUAGUUGCCAUCCGGUAAUGCAGGGGACUCUAGCGAAACUGCCACCGUAAGGUGAGAGGAAGGUGGGGAUGACGUCAAAUCAGCACGGCCCUUAUGUCCAGGGCUACACACGUGUUACAAUGGUCGGUACAGAGGGCAGCUACCUGGUGACAGGAUGCUAAUCUCGAAAACCGGUCUCAGUUCGGAUCGAAGUCUGCAACUCGACUUCGUGAAGCUGGAUUCGCUAGUAAUCGCGCAUCAGCUAUGGCGCGGUGAAUACGUUCCCGGGCCUU
This 355-nucleotide ribosomal RNA is filed under the name uncultured Sphingobacteriales bacterium. RNAcentral's name for it is "bacterial SSU rRNA". It matches the Rfam family "Bacterial small subunit ribosomal RNA", at positions 1028 to 1382 of the family's 1533-position model. Lineage: Bacteria; Pseudomonadati; Bacteroidota; Sphingobacteriia; Sphingobacteriales. The record is from RNAcentral.